GGGAAGGUGGCUCAGUGAUAGAGUGCUUGCCUUGCAUGCAUGAGGCCCUUGGUUCGAUUCCUCAGGCCCA
This 70-nucleotide transfer RNA is filed under the name Dipodomys ordii (Ord's kangaroo rat). It matches the Rfam family "tRNA". From Rfam's summary of the family: Transfer RNA (tRNA) molecules are approximately 80 nucleotides in length. Their secondary structure includes four short double-helical elements and three loops (D, anti-codon, and T loops). Lineage: Eukaryota; Metazoa; Chordata; Mammalia; Rodentia; Heteromyidae. The record is from Rfam by way of RNAcentral.